Helianthus annuus (common sunflower) is the source of this 2325-nucleotide long non-coding RNA. RefSeq lists it as uncharacterized. The record is from RefSeq and is a predicted model, not a curated record. NCBI's taxonomy places the organism in Eukaryota, Viridiplantae, Streptophyta, Magnoliopsida, Asterales, Asteraceae. The transcript has 14 exons.
CUAUCUAAACCACAAUUCGUUUCAUCCGCCGCUCCACCUUUCUCUACAAACCCUAGAUCCUCCACCGCUCCUCCACCUUUCAUCCAUGGAACCGGUCGUCGCCAUCACCGUCUUCUCCCCUUCUCCACUCCAACAGUCGCUUCAUGAUCUAGGGUUUCACUGAGAAACCAGUCGUUUCAUGAUCUAGGGUUUUUCUGUAGAUCCGAUGCUAUCUCAACAGAUUCGACACCAGAUCCGACACCAGAUCCGACACCAGAUCGAUUUCUAUAGCUUCUUUCCCGGUGGCUUCAAGAUCCGACACUAUCUCAGUAGAUCUGACACCAGAUCUACUGGUUUGACUGUAGGAUCUUCCGUUUGGUUGUGGGUUCGUCAACGAUGGUGGUUGUGGGUGGAAGAUCUGGCCAGAUCUAUGGCUCUGUUCUUUAGGUAUAUCUUACAAUCAGAUCACCGGUGAAUCCCAUACAAUAUCGGGUCUCUCCAAGAUCAUUUGCUGAAUGAGGUAAUAUAUGAUGCAACUUGUGUACGAUUGCAAGCUGGACACCAAGCAUAGAGUUAUUUUUAUAGACAACUUAUAAUGACUGGUAAUAUAGAGGUUGAUGCUAUUAAUAAACCUUACCGUCCAACUCUUUUGGAGCCGUAUCUGAAAAUGAGGUCAUUACUCAAAUUUGGGUGCUCUUUUAAGAGAUUUUGGAUUUGCUGGCAUAUUGGAUGUUUGGGCAGAACAUGACUUCUGUACACUUGGGAAACGCUUUGAAUUGGAAGAAUUGGGCCCAAUCAAAUGGUCUAUGAUGGCUAAGCAUUUUGAGCGUCAAGGGAAAUUGCCAUAUGCAUAUCAUGCUGGCAUACACGACUGUUGCUGGAUCAGACAAGUCUUUCAGUACUAGAGACAUAUCUGAUGCCCAUUACAUGCUUGCUUGUGUGCUAGAAUUAAUAUCAGUGGAACCAAUAGGGAAGUUAUGCCCGUCGAGACACAAAGACCGGAUGCAAUAUUGUCGAAUAAGUGUUGUUAUGACUACUUCAUUCAUUCACUAAGGGUGAAUUCAAACAAAUAAUGGAUGGUUCUCUCUGGGUCGGGCAUACGAACACCCCAUUGUUGUGUAUUUUAAGUCUUUCUUGCAUACGAACACCCCAUCUGGUAUAUUGAUCUCUAAAAUUGCACAGAUUGGUCCAAUCGUGUCCGUAUCUCCAUAUAUGCGAAUGCACGUAUAGGAGCUGGUGCACGGUUGAUUAAUUGUAUCGUUCUUGAUGAUGUCGAAAUCAAGGAAACGCAGUGGUGAUUCAUUCGAUUGUCAGCUGGAAAUGUUCGAUUGGGCGGUGGUCACAAGGCAAAACUUGGAGUCACAAUUCUUGGUGUGUUUUGCUUCUUGGGAUUGUAGAGUAAAAUGCCAUUUUCAUCCCUGAGGGAUCACGAAGUUCAUGUGGCUGGGGACAUGGUAAAUCGGCAAGAGGAAGAGGAAAAUUCAGAGCUACCAUGAUUGUAAUGACUUUUGUUAAUUGAACUGGCCAAGUUUUUUACUGCCAAAAAUUGUUCAGCAGGUGGGUGGAGCUACUGGUGUGUGUCGCUCAAAGUGCUAAGCUUAAGUAAGUGCAUGGGGGUGACAAGCGAUGGUCUUUCAAGAUGUUCUGAACUAUCUGUAUUGAAGCUUGGGAUAUGUCUAAAUAUGACCGAUGAGGGGCUUAUUUUUUAUCGGGAAUGGAUGCAAGAAACUUAUAGAGCUCGAUUUAUACAGGUCAAUUGGACUUACGGAUAAAGGCAUUUCUGCGGUUGCUCGUAGGUGCACCGGCCUUGAAAUGAUCAAUAGUUCUUACUGUGGAGUUUGUGAGCAGGGUAUGGUGCAUUAAAAUAGUGUCGCCACAAGAGGUGCAGCAACUGGGGAAACAAGGGGUCAAGGUUCUUGACCCGGUUCAGAUACAGAAACCCUGAGACAGCUGCUAUACUCCGAGCCAGCAAGUACUGAACCGACGUCUCCUCCGUCACAAACCCGCCACCGUCUCUGUCGUCUCCUCCGCCACAAACUCCACACCCUCUGCCGGCAUCUUCAUCAGCGACAACAUCUUUUCCGGUGAAGGUAUCAUCAUCACUUCAUGAGCGCCGUAGUUGAUGGAUUUGAUGUGUAUCUGUGUAAAUGUUUUAAAUUUUGUUGUGAAUUUGUUUGAUUUUGUGGAGUUGUUUUGGAAUUUGAUAAAUGGAUUUGAUGUGUUUCUGUGCUUUAAACGGAACAAUAUCUUUGUAUUUUGUAAGCGCAUAGAUGCAACUUUUAAACGGGCUUCCUUAUUUUUAAGGGAAUUAAGAAAUGCAUGGGUAUUAUAUCCCUUUAUCCUAAA